AUAAAGUGGCGAACGGCUGAGUAACACGUGGGCAACCUGCCCUUUGCACUGGGAUAGCCUCGGGAAACCGAGGUUAAUACCGGAUACUCCAUAUUUGUCGCAUGGCGAAUAUGGGAAAGCUCCGGCGGCAAAGGAUGGCCCGCGGCCUGUUAGCUAGUUGGUGGGGUAGUGGCCUACCAAGGCAAUGAUGGGUAGCCGGGUUGAGAGACCGACCGGCCAGAUUGGGACUGAGACACGGCCCAGACUCCUACGGGAGGCAGCAGUU
Molecule: ribosomal RNA, 265 nt
Filed under: uncultured Atopobium sp.
Lineage: Bacteria; Bacillati; Actinomycetota; Coriobacteriia; Coriobacteriales; Atopobiaceae
Description: partial 16S ribosomal RNA
Rfam family: Bacterial small subunit ribosomal RNA
Source: RNAcentral